UAGGGAAUCUUCCACAAUGGACGCAAGUCUGAUGGAGCAACGCCGCGUGAGUGAAGAAGGCUUUCGGGUCGUAAAACUCUGUUAUUGAAGAAGAACGUGUGUGACAGUAACUGGUCAUGCAGUGACGGUAUUCAAUCAGAAAGUCACGGCUAACUACGUGCCAGCAGCCGCGGUAAUACGUAGGUGGCAAGCGUUGUCCGGAUUUAUUGGGCGUAAAGCGAGUGCAGGCGGUCUUUUAAGUCUGAUGUGAAAGCCUUCGGCUUAACCGAAGAAGGGCAUCGGAAACUGGGAGACUUGAGUGCAGAAGAGGAGAGUGGAACUCCAUGUGUAGCGGUGAAAUGCGUAGAUAUAUGGAAGAACACCAGUGGCGAAGGCGGCUCUCUGGUCUGUAACUGACGCUGAGGCUCGAAAGCAUGGGUAGCGAACAGGAUUAGAUACCCUGGUAGUCCAUGCCGUAAACGAUGAGCGCUAGGUGUUGGGGA
This 482-nucleotide ribosomal RNA is filed under the name uncultured bacterium. Its description in RNAcentral is "partial 16S ribosomal RNA". It matches the Rfam family "Bacterial small subunit ribosomal RNA", at positions 355 to 829 of the family's 1533-position model. The record is from RNAcentral.